UUGAAAGAUGGUUUCGGCUAUCGCUUACAGAUGGGCCCGCGGUGCAUUAGCUAGUUGGUAGGGUAAUGGCCUACCAAGGCAACGAUGCAUAGCCGACCUGAGAGGGUGAUCGGCCACACUGGGACUGAGACACGGCCCAGACUCCUACGGGAGGCAGCAGUAGGGAAUCUUCCGCAAUGGACGAAAGUCUGACGGAGCAACGCCGCGUGUAUGAAGAAGGUUUUCGGAUCGUAAAGUACUGUUGUUAGAGAAGAACAAGGAUAAGAGUAACUGCUUGUCCCUUGACGGUAUCUAACCAGAAAGCCACGGCUAACUACGUGCCAGCAGCCGCGGUAAUACGUAGGUGGCAAGCGUUGUCCGGAUUUAUUGGGCGUAAAGCGCGCGCAGGCGGUCUUUUAAGUCUGAUGUGAAAGCCCCCGGCUUAACCGGGGAGGGUCAUUGGAAACUGGAAGACUGGAGUGCAGAAGAGGAGAGUGGAAUUCCACGUGUAGCGGUGAAAUGCGUAGAUAUGUG
RNAcentral lists this ribosomal RNA (513 nucleotides) under Listeria monocytogenes. Its description in RNAcentral is "bacterial SSU rRNA". It matches the Rfam family "Bacterial small subunit ribosomal RNA", at positions 200 to 700 of the family's 1533-position model. Lineage: Bacteria; Bacillati; Bacillota; Bacilli; Caryophanales; Listeriaceae. The record is from RNAcentral.